Non-coding RNA from Cinara cedri, 310 nucleotides. The record is from the annotation of a GenBank genome assembly. Lineage: Eukaryota; Metazoa; Arthropoda; Insecta; Hemiptera; Aphididae.
AUAUGUGGAACAAAUCUAAAUUUUAUAUUUUUAGUUUUGAACAUAUGUAUAUUGCCGAUUCAAGAACGAUGGUGAUGUCAGAAUUAAGCAGACUGACUAUGUUUCAAAAUUAAAGCUUUUUGAAGUGCUGGUAUUAUGCUGAUAUUAUAUGUUGUAAUACAUUAAUACUCAAUAUUUGUGAAACAAACGACAUAGUGAUGAAGUAAGUAUAACUACUAGUUCCAUCAUAAAAAAUAUCAGUGUUGCCACAUAAGUACGCCGUAAAAUUAUUUCACAAUUAAUUACACGCACUUUUUACAUACUGGCGCUU